ACAACGGAUUCUUGGCUCUCGCAUCGAUGAAGAACGCAGCGAAAUGCGAUAAGUAAUGUGAAUAACUUUCAAUCCCGAAAUCGAACUUAAGGGGCCGAGUUGAGUGUUGCCGGCUGUCAAGGUCGGCUCGCUCUGAAUGCAUUGCGCGGCCAGUUGCAGAAUAGUGAAUCUUGAACGCACCUUGUGCCUUUUUGGCAUGCUACUUUGAGCCACCUACCCGUGGCCGGCUAGACGUCGAUCGUGAUAACUCAUCGACGACGUUCGAUUCAUUUGGUCGCUUCUAACGUCCGCAAGGACAAUCCACGAAGCGCUAGGCAUCAAAGUAGUAGGACUACCCGCUGAACUUAAGCAUACAAUAAGCGGAGGAAAAGAAACUAACAAGGAUUCCCCUAGUAACUGCGAGUGAAGCGGGAAAAGCUCAAAUUUGAAAUCCUUUUGGGAAUGCAGCUCAAAACGGGUGGUAAACUCCAUCUAAAGCUAAAUAUUGGCGAGAGACCGAUAGCGAACAACGGGAGUUGUAAUCUGUAGAAGUGUUUUCGGCCGCAGCCUCGGACAAGUCCCUUGGAACAGGGCGUCAUAGAGGGUGAGAAUCCCGUGCUUGCCGAGCUCCCUGCGUCUAUGUGAUACACUUUCAAAGAGUCGAGUUGUGUAGCGCUUGAAGUCAUCGCGUUUGCAGAGCCGUGAGGGAAAGAUGAAAAGCACUUUGGAAAGAGAGUUAAACAGUACGUGAAAUUGUUGAAAGGGAAACUCAGCCUCACGGCGCAUUUCUUUGUGAACGGGCCAACAUCAGUUUUGGCCGCGGGAAAAGGACCUGGGGAAUGUGGCAACCUCGGUUGUGUUAUAGCCUCUUGUCGUACACCGCGGCCGGGACUGAGGACUGCUGUUUUACAGGAUGUUGGCGUAAUGGCUUUAAGCGACCCGUCUUGAAACACGGACCAAGGAGUCUAACAUGUCUGCGAGUGUUCGGGUGUCAAACCCGUGCGCGUAAUGAA
Molecule: ribosomal RNA, 992 nt
Filed under: Dacrymyces sp. Ap11
Lineage: Eukaryota; Fungi; Basidiomycota; Dacrymycetes; Dacrymycetales; Dacrymycetaceae
Description: eukaryotic LSU rRNA
Rfam family: Eukaryotic large subunit ribosomal RNA (bases 313-992)
Source: RNAcentral